RNAcentral lists this ribosomal RNA (564 nucleotides) under Triticum aestivum (bread wheat). RNAcentral's name for it is "partial small subunit ribosomal RNA". The record is from RNAcentral. Lineage: Eukaryota; Viridiplantae; Streptophyta; Magnoliopsida; Poales; Poaceae.
AUGGGGAAGGAGAAGACGGCGGCUCUGGAGCGGGCAAAGAAGGCGACGACGAGGUCGAAGGGGAAGGCGACCAGCCAGGGCGGAUCCUCCUCGCGAACCGGCCUGCCGAAGGGCUGGAUCCAGGGCGACUGGAUCCACUCGAAGCUCACCCAAGAAGACCUCGAUGACCUGGCCGAAGGAGGGCUGAUCCCCUAUGACUCGGCGCGGCUUCCGGGGAAGGAAUCCGAGCCACAACCCCGGGAGGGUGAGCGCGUUCUUCUUGCCACCCACGUCGACCGUGGAUUUUCCUUGCCUCCUCACCCUUUCUUUCGAGGAUUUCUGAACUUCUUUGGGGCACAACUCCACCAUUUUACUCCAAACACAAUCGUUUAUCUCGCCGCUUUCAUUUCUUUGUGUGAGAAUUUCCUGGGUUGCCGGCCUCACUGGGGUCUUUUCAAGCAUAUUUUCACUUGUCGCUCCCAAACAGUGAAAAAGGCUAAUCCGAGUGACGAGAGGACUCAAGUGAUCCAGAUGUGUGGGGGUCUUGGUAUCCAGAUGAGAGGGAAAAGUUCUUUUCGGCCAUGA